UUUGGGUGUAACAUCGUUCUGUUGAUUAACGGGAGUUUGCCUAGUGGUCUUUUUUUCUUUAUUUUUUUUAUCCCCAAUUCCUCCUCAAUUUACGUAGCGGAAUUGGUUGUGCUGUGGAGUUUUUACGAAAAAUACCGUUUAUCACGCGACUACAGUUGGCGCUGAGUUUCUCGAUUGUCGUCACUUCGUUGGUCAAGAUAAAAUAAACCUGGGCUUCUGCGAGACAAAAUGCAGAUGAAUCAAGAAAAUCAUUAGACGAUUACCGAGGAGGACCCAUUAGAAAUAGUAUAUAGUAUCUUCAAGAAGGGAACACUUUGUCUUCUGUUCUAUAAAAGCCAAGACUUAUCACAAGAGACCUCGAGAAUUAUGGCUGCGACAGAAUGUUCUUCUCUAAAAGAUGAGGCAUUGGCUGGACUACUAGCAACAUGGUUUAUCAUUGGUGGCGACAGCAAAGUAGCGAGUGGUGCUCCCCUAUUCCAUAGUCAUGGUUUUGACAUCACGCUACUGUACUGCAAAACUGAAUCGGGGGAACCAUUUCUGCCAUCUGAUCCUCAUGUAGAUGAGGAAAGAUUGCUAGUUUUCGCCUCUGUCCGUCUAUAUAUUACCAGUUGUAUACAAUCAGCAUUCAAAUAAGUAAUCUGAAUGUACCUCGUGGCGCAGAAAGGGAAAAUUUAUCUAGAACUAGGAGCGCAAAUAACUAAAGAACAAGUUUACAAAGAGUGCAAAAACGACUUGGAACUUCACUUGAAAAGUAUUACCCUUGCCAGAUAAUGUCUUUAUUAAAAGCUGUGGCAUAUUAUCUGUUAAUGCAUUAGUAAAUUCUUAGUUGAGUCUUUAA
This is a long non-coding RNA of Macrobrachium nipponense, 838 nucleotides long. RefSeq lists it as uncharacterized. NCBI's taxonomy places the organism in Eukaryota, Metazoa, Arthropoda, Malacostraca, Decapoda, Palaemonidae. The transcript is spliced from 2 exons. The record is from RefSeq and is a predicted model, not a curated record.